UACGUAGGGUGCAAGCGUUAUCCGGAAUUAUUGGGCGUAAAGAGCUCGUAGGCGGUUUGUCGCGUCGGGAGUGAAAGCCCGCUGCUUAACGGCGGGUUGGCUUCCGGUACGGGCAUCGCUGGAGUGCGGCAGGGGAGACUGGAAUUCCUGGUGUAGCGGUGGAAUGCGCAGAUAUCAGGAGGAACACCGGUGGCGAAGGCGGGUCUCUGGGCCGUUACUGACGCUGAGGAGCGAAAGCGUGGGGAGCGAACAGG
Molecule: ribosomal RNA, 254 nt
Filed under: uncultured bacterium
Lineage: Bacteria
Description: partial 16S ribosomal RNA
Rfam family: Bacterial small subunit ribosomal RNA
Source: RNAcentral